GGCUCCUGGUCAUUUUCAGACAGGGAUGGGAAUUCUCCCACUCCCGGGUCAUUUCCAGACAGGGGCCUUGCUGGCUCCGGGUCAUUUUCAGACAGGGAGUUUUGCUCCCGGGUCAUUAGAAAGGGACUGGCAUUCUACAGACCCUGGGUCAUUUGCAGCUACCUCAGAGACAGCUGUUUGAGUUUCUCCCAUAGUGGGAGAAAAGGUCAUUAAGUGUCUUGUCCCUGAAAUUUGUCAAAGUCCUUUUAUGUUAUGUUAUGGUAAUUGUUACUUUGUUUUCUUUCUCAAGGCUCCUAUGGAGCCCCAACCCACUCCCCCAAGCAGUUAGACAUGGAGAGGAGAGAGGCAAAAUCUUGGAGAGCACCCAAAAGAAACUGGGUGCAGAGAGGGUAGGAAAUACAUGCCUGUGACUUAUAAUGUCUUUGGGGCUACUACACUGGGUACAUGGUGAUCCCCUGGAGUUCCAGAAAACUGUUGUCUCUUUGUUUAUUAUGUUUAAGACUAGACUGGCGGGACUAAAAAUAAAUAAAUAAAUAAAACAAAACUUAAACAUAAAAUGCAGAUAACUUGACAGCAGCCCAUCUAGGGUCUGUAUCCCUAGCCCUGAGCCAGGUCUGAUGGCAAGAGGAUACACUGUCUGGGUGCUGAGAGCUAAGCCUUAAAGACUGUGGAAAAAUGCAAUACGGCAAAGGAUCUGAGUAGGGGCUGGGGGAGGGUUCCGAGGCCAGGGAGCAAGGACACCUGAGAUGGAGUGGAUGACAAAAUCAUCAUGCACCUGGCCUCUUCAAAAGGCAGGCGGUGGAGCUAAUGACUGCGAGAGGCCAGCUGCAGCAAAACAGGGCAGUCACCUCUCAUUUGUUCUCUCUCUGUAUCUUGAGGGUCUUUGCCUUAGGCAGGAGAGAGGGACCUACAUGCAGAUGGCAGAGAAUUGACCACUUGCAAUUAAGAAACUGCAAAUAUAAAACAAAAAAAUCUGAGAUCAUAGUCAAAAAAUUUAACAAAAACUUUUUUUAAGAAAGCAUUGACAGCCAAGGACACUCUCUGUGCCCACUGCAGCUGCCUCCUCUUUUCUUUUCUGAACCAAGUUCUUCAGUAUGAUAACACUCAAGGUAUCUUCUACUGGCCAGCAGUUUCCCGUCUUAACCCUUUCCUGUCCUGAUACUGCUGCUUAUAAGAAGUUUUCAAUUAUACCAACCUGUAACUUUAAAAAAUGUUGAUUUUAAAGUAAAUGUCAAAAAAAUACAUUAUGUUUAAAAAUGCUUUUGUUUCCACAGGGAAAAAAAAUAUAUGGAUUACAAAUACUUAAAACCUUUUAUUAAGAUACAUAUUUCUGCUUUUGUUUUAUGCAAUGUUCUGCUAAAUAAAAUCACAAAAAAGACUUUGAUAAAAAUUUACACAUUGUCUAAAAAGGUUUUUAAUAGAGGUUUUUAAAAGAUCAAAGGAUGUUUGCUAUAAUUUAUUGUACCUAACUGUUUAACGGUUAAUUCUGGUUUUAAAAAGCUUUAUUUGUCUUGUUAAAGGGUCAUGGUUAUUCCUUAAAAAAAAAUUUAUGUUUAUUUUGCUAAAAAUUAGUCUUUAAUAAUUAUAAGUUUCAUACUUGUAAUUUUUCUCUGAGCUCUGGUCAUUAGAUUUGGGUUUGCAAAAAUUUAAAUGUCUUUUUGAUAUAGAUAAUAUUAAAACUGUUUUAUGCUGUUCUUUACUGAUAUACAAGAAAGUCAGUUACCACCGGAAAUAUCUGGAAUUAGACUCCCAAAGGGGGAAAAAAAACAGCUACAAAGAAAACCACCAAUGCCAGGAAAUAGUCACCAAAAAUGUCAAUUGUAAUAAAAUAGGUUAUAAAACAGAUAUGCUUAUAAAAUGUUUCAUAUUAUUAAUAUUUAGAUUUUAGUCUCAUAGUCUUUGCUAAAAUCAUUAAAGGUUCAAUCUAACAAAAAUAUGAUAUAUAGUUCUGGACUGUUAAAAAUACAAAUUAAUAAUCAGUCAUCCUCAAAUACUGAUAUAAGUACAUGGAUAAGCUUUAUUUAGUUUUAAAGCUUAAAACAAAUAUUUUUAAUAAUAAAGUCUGUCUAAUCAGAGAUACCUGGACAGCCCUAAAUACUUCAGAGAUCUAUAGAAAAUGACAUUUAAAAUGUUUAAAAAGCUUUUAUCAGACAGAGACUCUGAGAUCCUAACAGUGACCCAAGGUCUCCAAAGAAGACUAUGAGACACCACAAUGUCUCCACCUUCAUAACGAUGACAUUGACCACUGGGCAAAAUGCCCCAUGCUACGACCUGCUGCCAGGACCCAGCCCAGACUGUGGACAAACAGUAGGACCUUGGCGAAUUGAUUGCACCACUUUUGCCUAGACAAAAUAAGGUCAGUCUUUUCCAUGUCCCUCUUCCACAGAAACCAAUCACCUUAUGGGCCUGGUAAAGCCUGCUGUUCUGAUACUGCUGCCUCCAACGCUAUGGAGACCUGGGUUUCCCCUUGGUUGGUGGACACAAACAAACAUUAAUUGCUGCCUGCAACCUGCUCCAGACGACUGUGGACCAUGGACUUGCUAAAAAUCUGUUAUGGACCAGUCUAGCAGAUAUAAAUGCUCCCUGGCUCUUCAACAAAGUCCACAAACCAAAUGUUCCUAAGAUUUUCUCUUUUUGACUAGCAUUUCACCUUUGUUAACCCUUGACAACGACGCCCCAAAGUCAGCUGGAAGCAGUUAAAAGAAUACAUCGUCCAAUAACCCCUGUUUAAAAUGCUAAGUCAAAA
This is a non-coding RNA of Myodes glareolus (Bank vole), 2746 nucleotides long. The record is from RefSeq and is a predicted model, not a curated record. NCBI's taxonomy places the organism in Eukaryota, Metazoa, Chordata, Mammalia, Rodentia, Cricetidae.